RNAcentral lists this non-coding RNA (202 nucleotides) under unclassified sequences. RNAcentral's name for it is "manA RNA". It matches the Rfam family "manA RNA". From Rfam's summary of the family: manA RNA has been located in 5'UTR regions of genes of mannose or fructose metabolism. The record is from RNAcentral.
GGAAGGGCUUAUAAUCCUUCCUGUGGGUGACUGAAAUAACCUGUUGUGAGCGGGUUAAGGUAUACGAUUCUCUGUGGUGGAGUACCGAUGGGCAAAUGUCUGAGGUAGGAUUUCCCAAUCCAAUUGUAGUACGAGUAGGCACAUAAUGAACUAAUGUUCACACCGAAAGUUGGGAGUAUGUAGUAGUCUCCCCCCACACCUA